This is a non-coding RNA of Erinaceus europaeus (western European hedgehog), 107 nucleotides long. The record is from Rfam. NCBI's taxonomy places the organism in Eukaryota, Metazoa, Chordata, Mammalia, Eulipotyphla, Erinaceidae.
GUGCUUGCGUCAGCAGCACAUAUACUAAAAUUGAAACAAUACAGAGACAAUGAGCAUGGCUCCUGCACAAGGAUGACACUCAAAUUCUGGAAGACUUCCAUCAAAAA